CUUCGGCAAUGGGCGAAAGCCUGACCGAGCAACGCCGCGUGAAUGAUGAAGGCCUUCGGGUUGUAAAAUUCUGUUAUAAGGGAAGAAUGACUCUAGUAGGAAAUGGCUAGAGUGUGACGGUACCUUAUGAGAAAGCCACGGCUAACUACGUGCCAGCAGCCGCGGUAAUACGUAGGGGGCUAGCGUUAUCCGGAAUUACUGGGCGUAAAGGGUGCGUAGGUGGUUUCUUAAGUCAGAGGUGAAAGGCUACGGCUCAACCGUAGUAAGCCUUUGAAACUGGGAAACUUGAGUGCAGGAGAGGAGAGUGGAAUUCCUAGUGUAGCGGUGAAAUGCGUAGAUAUUAGGAGGAACACCAGUAGCGAAGGCGGCUCUCUGGACUGUAACUGACGCUGAGGCACGAAAGCGUGGGGAGCAAACAGG
Molecule: ribosomal RNA, 420 nt
Filed under: uncultured prokaryote
Also listed under: 1 other name
Description: bacterial SSU rRNA
Rfam family: Bacterial small subunit ribosomal RNA
Source: RNAcentral